Molecule: ribosomal RNA, 253 nt
Filed under: uncultured bacterium
Lineage: Bacteria
Description: partial 16S ribosomal RNA
Rfam family: Bacterial small subunit ribosomal RNA
Source: RNAcentral
UACGGAGGAUGCGAGCGUUAUCCGGAAUCAUUGGGUUUAAAGGGUCCGUAGGCGGGCUAAUAAGUCAGAGGUGAAAGCGCUCAGCUCAACUGAGCAACUGCCUUUGAAACUGUUAGUCUUGAAUGAUUGUGAAGUAGUUGGAAUGUGUAGUGUAGCGGUGAAAUGCUUAGAUAUUACACAGAACACCGAUAGCGAAGGCAUAUUACUAACAAUUUAUUGACGCUGAUGGACGAAAGCGUGGGGAGCGAACAGG